RNAcentral lists this ribosomal RNA (301 nucleotides) under uncultured bacterium. Its description in RNAcentral is "partial 16S ribosomal RNA". It matches the Rfam family "Bacterial small subunit ribosomal RNA", at positions 509 to 807 of the family's 1533-position model. The record is from RNAcentral.
CAGUAGCCGCGGUAAAACAGAGGGUGCGAGCGUUAAUCGGAUUUACUGGGCGUAAAGCGUGCGUAGGCGGCUUUUUAAGUCGGAUGUGAAAUCCCUGAGCUUAACUUAGGAAUUGCAUUCGAUACUGGUUAGCUAGAGUGUGGGAGAGGAUGGUAGAAUUCCAGGUGUAGCGGUGAAAUGCGUAGAGAUCUGGAGGAAUACCGAUGGCGAAGGCAGCCAUCUGGCCUAAUACUGACGCUGAGGUACGAAAGCAUGGGGAGCAAACAGGAUUAGAUACCCGGGUAGUCCCUGUCUCUUAUAC